CAAAGGAGCAAUCCGCUGAAAGAUGGGCUCGCGUCCGAUUAGGUAGUUGGCGGGGCAACGGCCCACCAAGCCGACGAUCGGUAGCCGGACUGAGAGGUUGAACGGCCACAUUGGGACUGAGACACGGCCCAGACUCCUACGGGAGGCAGCAGUGAGGGAUAUUGGUCAAUGGGGGAAACCCUGAACCAGCAACGCCGCGUGAGGGAAGACGGUUUUCGGAUUGUAAACCUCUGUCCUCUGUGAAGAUGAUGACGGUAGCAGAGGAGGAAGCUCCGGCUAACUACGUGCCAGCAGCCGCGGUAAUACGUAGGGAGCAAGCGUUGUCCGGAUUUACUGGGUGUAAAGGGUGCGUAGGCGGCUUUGCAAGUCAGAAGUGAAAUCCAUGGGCUUAACCCAUGAACUGCUUUUGAAACUGCAGAGCUUGAGUGGAGUAGAGGUAGGCGGAAUUCCCGGUGUAGCGGUGAAAUGCGUAGAGAUCGGGAGGAACACCAGUGGCGAAGGCGGCCUGCUGGGCUCUAACUGACGCUGAGGCACGAAAGCGUGGGUAGCAAACAGGAUUAGAUACCCUGGUAGUCCACGCUGUAAACGAUGAUUACUAGGUGUGGGUGGACUGGCCCCAUCC
This 622-nucleotide ribosomal RNA is filed under the name uncultured bacterium. Its description in RNAcentral is "bacterial SSU rRNA". It matches the Rfam family "Bacterial small subunit ribosomal RNA", at positions 202 to 842 of the family's 1533-position model. The record is from RNAcentral.